Gambusia affinis (western mosquitofish) is the source of this 307-nucleotide long non-coding RNA. RefSeq lists it as uncharacterized. The record is from RefSeq and is a predicted model, not a curated record. Lineage: Eukaryota; Metazoa; Chordata; Actinopteri; Cyprinodontiformes; Poeciliidae. The transcript is spliced from 3 exons.
CCAGCAGAGGGCGCCAGUGGUCAUUCUUAAGCAGAGCCAGUUGCUAAAUAAAUUAAAGAUGGCCGUCUCAAUCCCAGCCCAAGAAAGAGAAACGUGCAGAUUUUACUUUUAUUUCUCCAUCGGAGCGUCGAGCAGCAGCUUGGUGUGUCAGUCCACCUGCUGAGGCGCUUCUGACCAUGAUGGACAGCAGGAAACCAGGAAACGAUGGUGGAGCUAGUGCUGUUAGCACCUCGUAUGUACCAUCUACCCAGGUUGCAUUGCAGGGAAACAUGGCUACAUGUUUUUAUUUAAAUUGAUAAAAACUUGA